RNAcentral lists this ribosomal RNA (258 nucleotides) under uncultured bacterium. RNAcentral describes it as "partial 16S ribosomal RNA". The record is from RNAcentral.
CUGCUGCCUUCCGUAGGAGUUUGGGCCGUGUCUCAGUCCCAAUGUGGCCGUUCACCCUCUCAGGCCGGCUACUGAUCGUUGCCUUGGUAGGCCAUUACCCCACCAACUAGCUAAUCAGACGCGGAACCAUCGUAUACCACCAGAGUUUUUCACACCGCUUCAUGCGAAGCUGUGCGCUUAUGCGGUAUUAGCACCUAUUUCUAAGUGUUAUCCCCCAGUAUACGGCAGGUUUUCCACGCGUUACUCACCCGUCCGCCA